UGUGGUGUAGUGUAGUGGUUUGAACAUUGGAUUAUGACUCUGGAGACCAGGGUUCAAUUCUUUGCUCGGUCA
Non-coding RNA from Phrynosoma platyrhinos (Desert horned lizard), 72 nucleotides. The record is from the annotation of a GenBank genome assembly. Lineage: Eukaryota; Metazoa; Chordata; Lepidosauria; Squamata; Phrynosomatidae.